Molecule: ribosomal RNA, 883 nt
Filed under: uncultured bacterium
Lineage: Bacteria
Description: bacterial SSU rRNA
Rfam family: Bacterial small subunit ribosomal RNA
Source: RNAcentral
AGAGUUUGAUCCUGGCUCAGGAUGAACGCUGGCGGCGUGCCUAAUACAUGCAAGUCGAACGGAGUGCAGCAAUGUACUUAGUGGCGACCGGGUGCGUAACACGUAGCUGACCUGCCCCUCAGCGGGGGACAACAGCCUGAAAGGGCUGCUAAUACCGCAUACAUUUGGGAGGAUUAGACGCUCCUAAAGAAACUUCCGGGGCCGAGGGAGGGGGCUGCGGCCCAUCAGGUAGUUGGUGAGGUAAUGGCUCACCAAGCCGACGACGGGUAGGGGGCCUGAGAGGGUGGUCCCCCACACUGGGACUGACACACGGCCCAGACUCCUACGGGAGGCAGCAGUAAGGGAUAUUGCGCAAUGGGCGAAAGCCUGACGCAGCAACGCCGCGUGGAGGAUGACGGCCUUCGGGUUGUAAACUCCUUUGGGGGGGGACGAGGAAGGACGGUACCCCCAUAACAAGUCACGGCUAACUACGUGCCAGCAGCCGCGGUAAAACGUAGGUGGCGAGCGUUAUCCGGAUUUACUGGGCGUAAAGGGUGUGCAGGCUGCUCCUCAAGUGGUGUAUGAAAGCACCCGGCUCAACCGGGUCAUGGUAUGCCAGACUGAGGAGCUAGAGAGCGAGAGCGGGACGUGGAAUUCCGGGUGUAGUGGUGAAAUGCGUAGAGAUCCGGAGGAACCCCAGAGGCGAAGGCGGCGUCCUGGCUCGCAUCUGACGCUCAGACACGACAGCAUGGGGAGCGAACGGGAUUAGAAACCCCGGUAGUCCAUGCCGUAAACGAUGCAUACUAGGCGUCGGGGGACUCAACCCCCUCGGUGCCGCAGUUAACACGGUAAGUAUGCCGCCUGGGGAGUACGACCGCAAGGUUAAAACUCAAGGAAUUGACGG